This 629-nucleotide ribosomal RNA is filed under the name uncultured fungus. RNAcentral describes it as "eukaryotic LSU rRNA". The stretch from base 244 to 397 matches the Rfam family "5.8S ribosomal RNA". Lineage: Eukaryota; Fungi. The record is from RNAcentral.
GGAAGUAAAAGUCGUAACAAGGUCUCCGUUGGUGAACCAGCGGAGGGAUCAUUACCGAGUUAUACAACUCCCAAACCCACUGUGAACCUUACCUCAGUUGCCUCGGCGGGAACGCCCCGGCCGCCUGCCCCCGCGCCGGCGCCGGACCCAGGCGCCCGCCGCAGGGACCCCAAACUCUCUUGCAUUACGCCCAGCGGGCGGAAUUUCUUCUCUGAGUUGCACAAGCAAAAACAAAUGAAUCAAAACUUUCAACAACGGAUCUCUUGGUUCUGGCAUCGAUGAAGAACGCAGCGAAAUGCGAUAAGUAAUGUGAAUCGCAGAAUUCAGUGAAUCAUCGAAUCUUUGAACGCACAUUGCGCCCGCCAGUAUUCUGGCGGGCAUGCCCGUUCGAGCGUCAUUACAACCCUCAGGCCCCCGGGCCUGGCGUUGGGGAUCGGCGGAAGCCCCCUGUGGGCACACGCCGUCCCUCAAAUACAGUGGCGGUCCCGCCGCAGCUUCCAUUGCGUAGUAGCUAACACCUCGCAACUGGAGAGCGGCGCGGCCAUGCCGUAAAACACCCAACUUCUGAAUGUUGACCUCGGAUCAGGUAGGAAUACCCGCUGAACUUAAGCAUAUCAAUAAGCGGAGGA